GCAGGUUCUCCCUUGCAUGCAAGAUGGGUGCUGGCCCACUGUGAGGCUUCUGCUCGGGGAAGUUCUGUGGAGUCACUACCAGGGCCAAGAGGCAGGUGGGCUGGCUCUGGGACGAGGGCCAGGUGUGAGCAAACUGCCAGGGUCCGCUGUGCCACUGCUCCCCGGCCACAUGCCCGCCCAGCUGUCGCCUUAACCAGACUGAACAGACAGGAUCCUUCAGGGCCCUUGGCCCCACUCUCAGUGCAUUCUGUCAUCAGGGAUUACCACCUGUACCAUUUUCAUAAAACAAAACCAAAAUCACUACCAUCAAAUGGCCUUGUCCCUCUAAAAAGUCUGCUUAAAAUUCUGUUUUUAAAACCCAGUUUCCUAGUUUUCCAGGCAAAUAGUUACCUCCGGGAAAGUUGCUGGGGGGGCCUGAAGCACAAUGUAGCGCAGAUGCUUCCUUUCCAGGCCAUUCUCUCACCCAGCCUGCACGGAGGAGAUGGGAGAUGCUGGGGGUCCUGCCCUCAGUCUUUUUGGGCCUUAGGCGUUUCGUUCAUCCUGCUAAGGGGAUGAAGCAAACACGAGGUGAUUCCUUUGCCUUUCAGAGUGGAAGCCCUGGAGUUUGUUUUGAAGGCCAGGAGGCUGAAGGAUCUCUAAGCUACGGUGUGGGCUUAAUAGCAGCAGGCUUUGUCCUCCUGUCUCCUCCAAGCCAGUGUCUGAUUCCUUGGCAACACAGGUCUUAGUCUGUGGAGUGGCUCUGCUGUGGCCUUCCUCUGGCCGGGCAGGCACUGUCCAGCCAUAGCCAGCUCCUGAGAAUAGGUCAGCCUCUCCUUUCUGUCUCCCAGGGCACAUCCAGCCCGUGCCUGUGUUCACUGUGCCCCGAAGUGCAAUUACCCAUACCCCUUCUCAGCCUGGGGACCCCAGGCAACCACAGACUGUCCACUCAGGGGAGCUGAAUCCCAGGUCAGCCCUGCCAAUGUCCCUUAGGAACUGCCCAGGCAAGGCCCCUGGUUUUGUAUACUUGUUCCUGCCACCCAGCAGUAGAUGAGUGUUUCAGGUGAAGACCAGGAUAGAUUUUCUAAGUGUGAAUCCCCACUUCACAUAUGGAACCCCUUAUGCUGAACUUGAAAAGCACCAAGACUUCCUGUAGACAAGAAAGUGCUUAGGUAGGGACAGCCCCUGGGCAUCCCACCCAAUGUAGCUGGCACCCCACUAUGGCAAAGGUGCCUUGAUAACUGAGCCCUGUAUCCCUCCCAUGCCCAGCCAGAUUCUCAUGGGAAGCCCUCUCCCUUCUUUUCUGCCUAACACCAUCUCAUCGUUUCUGGCCUCACUGUGGACAAUCCACACACAUUCUUCUUUCCUCUCCUGGCGGGGCACAGAGCCACCCCCUUGCCUUUUCUUUUCUUGAAGGUUCUAGUUCAGCUCCUGAUUCAUCAGACCCUUCUAGCCCCCUGCAUCUAGCAGUGAAGCAUGAAGCCUGGUGGGGAUGUGGUACUCCCAUCUGGUGUGGCCACCAGCUCUGCCAAUGUUCCUGUAGCCUUGGAAAACUUGCUCUCUCGGUUCUUUUGGGUGCUGUGUACUCCCCAGCUUCCCCCCUUCCCCCCCCAUUUUGCACCUGGGUUUAGUGAAAGGAUGGCAUUUGGUUGACCCAUAUAGAAACCCAGAAUGAGGUCUCAGGGCCAGGAGGCCUGGUAUUUGUAGGCCAGGGAAGGGGAAGAGGCAAGUGGUCUGGGGUAUCACCAGCCAGCCCUCUCUGAUUUGGCCUCUACUCCCCAUAAGUCACAGUACCAUAAGCAGGCUUCUGGCCUCAGCAAUUUGGUCUUUGUGCCCAAGUUUAUUGUGAGAAUUUCCUGAAAACUCUAUAAAAGGUCUCUUCCUACUGUAGGCCUCUAAUGUUUCUCCCCUUUUUGCUUCAGUCCACUCUUCAGUCUUGUAGGCCUAGUUUUCAAACCUGCACAUGUGUCCUACCUGGCCACAGGCAUGCAGGCCUCAGGCAGCUGGGCCAGUUUGGGAGCCUCGGGUGAUGUCUGCACGAUCUGGGGCUGCCUCUGCACCCCUGCUGUGGGCUUCAGGGUUGGAGAAGGGCUGGGACCAACCGGGUGAGAUCCACAAGUCUCUGGAUGUGGCUGAAGGCAAAUACACAAUUGAAGUACUUUCUGUUUUGAAGUGCUUUCCCUUUUGAAUCUGGUUUGAAACAUGCAGCUUCUGUCUCUAGCCCAAGGAAAGACCAAAACAUAGGGAAAUAAAAGCAUUUAUCUUUGUCUUGGAAGUAAUUGUUGAAGUUGUGCAGUUGAUCAGUGCACAGUUAGAUGCAAUGUUUAUAGAAAUUGAUUGUUAAACCAAAUUUACACUGGCAUGUGUGGUGUAGUUUCUAAAAGGCACUUCACAUUUGAAAUUUUUCUUACCUUAGAAAGUUUCUAGUGAUCUAAAUGUCUAGUUUUGUAUUCUUUUGUGUGUGUUCACUGUUUCUCAGUAUUACCACUUGAAUAAUUCUCUGUACAGGGGGGUUUGUGCUAUACACUGGGAUGUCU
This 2513-nucleotide long non-coding RNA is filed under the name Homo sapiens (human). Its description in RNAcentral is "non-protein coding lnc-OR13A1-4:1". The record is from RNAcentral. Lineage: Eukaryota; Metazoa; Chordata; Mammalia; Primates; Hominidae.